GGGUCAGCGACUUAUAUUCUGUAGCAAGGUUAACCGUAUAGGGGAGCCGUAGGGAAACCGAGUCUUAACCGGGCGUUAAGUUGCAGGGUAUAGACCCGAAACCCGGUGAUCUAGCCAUGGGCAGGUUGAAGGUUGGGUAACACUAACUGGAGGACCGAACCGACUAAUGUUGAAAAAUUAGCGGAUGACCUGUGGCUGGGGGUGAAAGGCCAAUCAAACCGGGAGAUAGCUGGUUCUCCCCGAAAGCUAUUUAGGUAGCGCCUCGUGAACUCAUCUCCGGGGGUAGAGCACUGUUUCGGCUAGGGGGCCAUCCCGGCUUACCAACCCGAUGCAAACUGCGAAUACCGGAGAAUGUUAUCACGGGAGACACACGGCGGGUGCUAACGUCCGUCGUGAAGAGGGAAACAACCCAGACCGCCAGCUAAGGUCCCAAAGUCAUGGUUAAGUGGGAAACGAUGUGGGAAGGCCCAGACAGCCAGGAUGUUGGCUUAGAAGCAGCCAUCAUUUAAAGAAAGCGUAAUAGCUCACUGGUCGAGUCGGCCUGCGCGGAAGAUGUAACGGGGCUAAACCAUGCACCGAAGCUGCGGCAGCGACGCUCAGGCGUUGUUGGGUAGGGGAGCGUUCUGUAAGCCUGUGAAGGUGGCCUGUGAGGGUUGCUGGAGGUAUCAGAAGUGCGAAUGCUGACAUAAGUAACGAUAAAGCGGGUGAAAAGCCCGCUCGCCGGAAGACCAAGGGUUCCUGUCCAACGUUAAUCGGGGCAGGGUGAGUCGACCCCUAAGGCGAGGCCGAAAGGCGUAGUCGAUGGGAAACGGGUUAAUAUUCCCGUACUUGGUGUUACUGCGAAGGGGGGACGGAGAAGGCUAUGUUGGCCGGGCGACGGUUGUCCCGGUUUAAGCGUGUAGGUGUGUGUUCCAGGUAAAUCCGGUUCACUUUAACACUGAGGCGUGACGACGAGGCACUACGGUGCUGAAGCAACAAAUGCCCUGCUUCCAGGAAAAGCCUCUAAGCAUCAGGUAACAUCAAAUCGUACCCCAAACCGACACAGGUGGUCAGGUAGAGAAUACCAAGGCGCUUGAGAGAACUCGGGUGAAGGAACUAGGCAAAAUGGUGCCGUAACUUCGGGAGAAGGCACGCUGACACGUAGGUGAAGUGAUUUACUCAUGGAGCUGAAGUCAGUCGAAGAUACCAGCUGGCUGCAACUGUUUAUUAAAAACACAGCACUGUGCAAACACGAAAGUGGACGUAUACGGUGUGACGCCUGCCCGGUGCCGGAAGGUUAAUUGAUGGGGUCAGCGCAAGCGAAGCUCCUGAUCGAAGCCCCGGUAAACGGCGGCCGUAACUAUAACGGUCCUAAGGUAGCGAAAUUCCUUGUCGGGUAAGUUCCGACCUGCACGAAUGGCGUAAUGAUGGCCAGGCUGUCUCCACCCGAGACUCAGUGAAAUUGAACUCGCUGUGAAGAUGCAGUGUACCCGCGGCAAGACGGAAAGACCCCGUGAACCUUUACUAUAGCUUGACACUGAACAUUGAGCCUUGAUGUGUAG
This 1541-nucleotide ribosomal RNA is filed under the name Salmonella enterica subsp. enterica serovar Oslo. RNAcentral describes it as "partial 23S ribosomal RNA". It matches the Rfam family "Bacterial large subunit ribosomal RNA", at positions 617 to 2141 of the family's 2925-position model. The record is from RNAcentral. Lineage: Bacteria; Pseudomonadati; Pseudomonadota; Gammaproteobacteria; Enterobacterales; Enterobacteriaceae.